Molecule: ribosomal RNA, 253 nt
Filed under: uncultured bacterium
Lineage: Bacteria
Description: partial 16S ribosomal RNA
Rfam family: Bacterial small subunit ribosomal RNA
Source: RNAcentral
UACAGAGGGUGCUAGCGUUGUUCGGAAUCAUUGGGCGUAAAGGGCGUGUAGGCGGUUUGUUAAGUCAUGUGUGAAAUCCCUCGGCUCAACCGGGGAACGACGCAUGAAACUGGCAAGCUAGAGUACCAAAGAGGGGGGUGGAAUUCCCGGUGUAGCGGUGAAAUUCGUAGAUAUUCGGAGGAACACCAGUGGCGAAGGCGGCUCACUGGUCCGGUACUGACGCUGAGGUGCGAAAGCGUGGGGAGCAAACAGG